Podarcis lilfordi (Lilford's wall lizard) is the source of this 71-nucleotide non-coding RNA. Lineage: Eukaryota; Metazoa; Chordata; Lepidosauria; Squamata; Lacertidae. The record is from the annotation of a GenBank genome assembly.
GGACUGUAGCUCAUUGGCAGAGCAUUCGCCUUAUGGGCAAAAGGUACUGGUUUCAGUCCCCAGUAGUAUCU